CCAUUUUUUACAUUAGGAAAUUCAUAUACCGAUUCAAGAAUAUGACAGUUAUUUUUGUCUUUAUGACUUUUUGUGUUCAGAUACAAAUGACGUGACAUUGUACUUAUACAUCCCGCCAUUGUGUUAUUUUUCUAUGAUAAGUUUUGUGUUCUUGUCUUUCAUUUUACUAAUGAGUUUUGUAUGCCCCUAUGGUGUUUCUAUGCUCUGUUUUAGAAGAAAUUCACAAUAAACAUAUAGACAAGUGGCAAAUAGAACAAGGUAAACUUCUGCAGAGGAUAUGCCUAAAAGAACAAUAGACUGUAUUAUGUUAAUACUUUAAACGAGAAAUUAUUUUACAUCUACAUGUGUGACGUUUAUAUGCUGAUCAACUGGUGUACGUCAAACGCGUGAUAAGAGCUUCGUCAUGUUAAUGUUUACAUAACCAUGUGCCUGUCCGGGAAAGGAUUCGGUCACAGUGCUUAAUUUCGUAUAAUAAAAAAAGCAAUGAAUGAGAUUGUUAAAUUUGAUAUACGCCUUUUUGUGCUUCCUUGCUAAACAUUGGUU
This 543-nucleotide long non-coding RNA is filed under the name Mytilus galloprovincialis (Mediterranean mussel). Lineage: Eukaryota; Metazoa; Mollusca; Bivalvia; Mytilida; Mytilidae. The record is from RNAcentral.